Molecule: ribosomal RNA, 440 nt
Filed under: uncultured bacterium
Lineage: Bacteria
Description: partial 16S ribosomal RNA
Rfam family: Bacterial small subunit ribosomal RNA
Source: RNAcentral
CCUACGGGAGGCAGCAGUGGGGAAUAUUGCACAAUGGAGGAAACUCUGAUCCAGCGACGCCGCGUGAGUGAUGAAGUAUUUCGGUAUGUAAAGCUCUAUUAGCAGGGAAGAAAAUGACGGUAUCUGAUUCAGCAGCUCCGGCUAAUUACGUGCCAGCAGCCGCGGUAAUACGUAGGGGGCCAGCGUUAUCCGGAUUUACUGGGUGUAAAGGGAGCGUAGGCGGUAGCACAAGUCAGUAGUGAAAUGCCGGGGCUUAACCCCGGAACUGCUUUGGAAACUGUGCGGCUAGAGUGCAGUAGAGGUAAGUGGAAUUCCUAGUGUAGCGGUGAAAUGCGUAGAUAUUAGGAGGAACACCAGUGGCGAAGGCGGCUUACUGGACUGUAACUGACACUGAGGCUCGAAAGCGUGGGGAGCAAACAGGAUUAGAUACCCGAGUAGUC